GAUGAAGAACGUAGCGAAAUGCGAUAAGUAAUGUGAAUUGCAGAAUUCAGUGAAUCAUCGAAUCUUUGAACGCACCUUGCGCCCUUUGGCUAUUCCGAAGGGCAUGCCUGUUUGAGUAUCAUGAACACCUCAACUCUCAUGGUUUGCCAUGAUGAGCUUGGACUUGGGGGUUUUGCUGGCCUUCGGUCGGCUCCUCUCAAACGGAUCAGCUUUCCAGUGUUUGGUGGCAUCACGGGUGUGAUAACUAUCUACGCCUGUGGUUUUCUGCCAGAUAACCUUCAGCGAUGGAGGUUCGCUGGGGCUCAUAAAUGUCUCUCUUCAGUGGAGACAGCUUUUUGGACGUUUGAUCUCAAAUCAGGUAGGAAUACCCGCUGAACUUAAGCAUAUCAAUAAGCGGAGGA
RNAcentral lists this unclassified non-coding RNA (401 nucleotides) under soil metagenome. RNAcentral describes it as "partial contains 5.8S ribosomal RNA, internal transcribed spacer 2, and large subunit ribosomal RNA". The stretch from base 1 to 121 matches the Rfam family "5.8S ribosomal RNA", at positions 35 to 154 of the family's 154-position model. The record is from RNAcentral.